CAGAGUUUAGUUUAAUUGGUAAAACGUGGUAUUUCAAAUGCCAAAAGUAUAGGUUCGAAACCUUUAGCUCUUG
Molecule: transfer RNA, 73 nt
Filed under: Chrysochromulina sp. NIES-1333
Lineage: Eukaryota; Haptophyta; Prymnesiales; Chrysochromulinaceae
Description: tRNA-Trp
Rfam family: tRNA
About the family: Transfer RNA (tRNA) molecules are approximately 80 nucleotides in length. Their secondary structure includes four short double-helical elements and three loops (D, anti-codon, and T loops).
Source: RNAcentral